Molecule: long non-coding RNA, 483 nt
Filed under: Chinchilla lanigera (long-tailed chinchilla)
Lineage: Eukaryota; Metazoa; Chordata; Mammalia; Rodentia; Chinchillidae
Description: lncRNA (ENSCLAG00000026222.1)
Source: RNAcentral
UGAUCAAGAAUAUCGAUCACUGCUCCUGUUCGUGUUCUCUUGCGUGUUUCCUCUAAGAGAGUAUCCAGCAGCAGAUACCGGCUCUCAUGGGAUUACUUGAAGGACUUUCGAUUAUGCAGGGAAAGCCUUUUUCAGAAGUAUGGAUAUCUCCUUGGAGCUCACUUUCCUUAUAUCCCUGGACAGUAUAAACCCGGUUCAGAUGGAAAUCGUGAUCUGCAAAGUGCAGCUCUGCUGGCAGUUUCCAUGUCACCGGAUGAUAUUGGAUUAUGUUGGAUGUGGAUAAUGCUGGUUGACACAACCAGCUGCCGGUCACUGCUGCUAGUGCUGCUGACUUCCAAGGCUGACUUGCCAGAUACUAUGACUCCGACUGCUGUACCUCCCCUUAGAAGAAAAAAAUUCCAAAUCCAGACCAAACCAACAGAUCAACCCACAGAAAGAACAAAGAAAGGAAGAACAAAGACCAAUAUAAACUAUAAAGAUUGA